UACGGAGGGUGCAAGCGUUAAUCGGAAUUACUGGGCGUAAAGGGAGCGUAGGCGGAUUGUUAAGUCAGGGGUGAAAUCCUGGAGCUCAACUCCAGAACUGCCUUUGAUACUGGCAAUCUCGAGUCCGGAAGAGGUAAGUGGAACUCCUAGUGUAGAGGUGGAAUUCGUAGAUAUUAGGAAGAACACCAGUGGCGAAGGCGGCUUACUGGUCCGGAACUGACGCUGAGGUGCGAAAGCGUGGGGAGCAAACAGG
This 253-nucleotide ribosomal RNA is filed under the name uncultured bacterium. RNAcentral's name for it is "partial 16S ribosomal RNA". It matches the Rfam family "Bacterial small subunit ribosomal RNA", at positions 524 to 776 of the family's 1533-position model. The record is from RNAcentral.